GUUCAAUUGUGGCUAUAAAAAGUAUUCCUGAAGCAAGUCAUGGGGAGGUGACUUAAAACAAUGAUGGAAAAGGAGGAGAAGAUCCUGACAUUUCUUCAGUGAUCUUGAAUGGAGAAGGAUGACCCAUUACGGUGCUGAAAGUGGUCUGAACUGAUGGAUGACCCAGGCUGGGGUGCAGAGAUUAGCCCUUUACUAGGCUAUAGUUCUUGGAUAUUUCCUUCUCUUGUAAAAGUACAGAGUUCCUGCAUCAUCGCAUGUCAUCGUCUCAGCCAACGUGGGCAGAAUAUGUCACUUCCAGGAAGAUGAGCCACUCACAGGAAUGGGACAUCUAGUU
This 334-nucleotide long non-coding RNA is filed under the name Calidris pugnax (ruff). RNAcentral describes it as "lncRNA (ENSCPUG00000015626.1)". The record is from RNAcentral. Lineage: Eukaryota; Metazoa; Chordata; Aves; Charadriiformes; Scolopacidae.